CAGUCGCCGCGGUAAUACGUAGGUGGCAAGCGUUGUCCGGAUUUACUGGGCGUAAAGGGCAGGCAGGCGGACCGUUAAGUAGAAAGUGAAAGGUCGGGGCUCAACCCCAACAUUGCUUUCUAUACUGGCGGUCUUGAGUCCCGGAGGGGAGAGCGGAACGACACGUGUAGCGGUGAAAUGCGUUGAUAUGUGUCGGAACACCAAUGGCGAAGGCAGCUCUCUGGACGGGUACUGACGCUCAUCUGCGAAAGCCGAGGUAGCGAACAGGAUUAGAUACCCGGGUAGUCCCUGUCUCUUAUAC
RNAcentral lists this ribosomal RNA (301 nucleotides) under uncultured bacterium. RNAcentral's name for it is "partial 16S ribosomal RNA". It matches the Rfam family "Bacterial small subunit ribosomal RNA", at positions 509 to 807 of the family's 1533-position model. The record is from RNAcentral.